Molecule: ribosomal RNA, 418 nt
Filed under: Faucheria faucheri
Lineage: Eukaryota; Metazoa; Arthropoda; Malacostraca; Isopoda; Cirolanidae
Description: partial 16S ribosomal RNA
Rfam family: Archaeal large subunit ribosomal RNA
Source: RNAcentral
AAAUGGCCGCGGUAUUCUAACCGUGCUAAGGUAGCAUAAUAAUUUUCUUUUUAAUUGGGAGAUAGUAUGAAGGAGUGAACAAAGAGGUUUUGUGCCAUUUUCAAAAAGAUAAUUUUAUUUAAGGGAGUAAAAAUACUCCAAUAAUCUAGUAGGACGACAAGACCCUAUAAAACUUUACUACCAAUUCUACCACCUUAAAGCUAUACUUUAAAUAGAAUAGGAAGUUAAGCUGGGGCGGCAUAUCCUUAUCGGAAAUUCCACUAACACAUUUAGUGAAUAACUAGAACAUUAAUAAGUAGUAAGAUUAGUUACUUUAGGGAUAACAGCGUAAUUACUCCGAAGAGCUCAUAUCGAUGGAGUAGAUUGCGACCUCGAUGUUGAAUUGGAUAUUCCUCCCUAGGGCAGCCCCUAAGAGAGG